RNAcentral lists this ribosomal RNA (376 nucleotides) under uncultured bacterium. RNAcentral's name for it is "bacterial SSU rRNA". It matches the Rfam family "Bacterial small subunit ribosomal RNA", at positions 523 to 898 of the family's 1533-position model. The record is from RNAcentral.
AUACGGAGGGAGCUAGCGUUGUUCGGAAUUACUGGGCGUAAAGCGCACGUAGGCGGCUAUUCAAGUCAGAGGUGAAAGCCCGGGGCUCAACCCCGGAACUGCCUUUGAAACUAGAUAGCUUGAAUCCAGGAGAGGUGAGUGGAAUUCCGAGUGUAGAGGUGAAAUUCGUAGAUAUUCGGAAGAACACCAGUGGCGAAGGCGGCUCACUGGACUGGUAUUGACGCUGAGGUGCGAAAGCGUGGGGAGCAAAAAGGAUUAGAUGCCCUGGUAGUCCACGCCGUAAACGAUGAUAACUAGCUGUCAGGGCACAUGGUGUUUUGGUGGCGCAGCUAACGCAUUAAGUUAUCCGCCUGGGGAGUACGGUCGCAAGAUUAAA